Molecule: non-coding RNA, 2467 nt
Organism: Pimephales promelas (fathead minnow)
Lineage: Eukaryota; Metazoa; Chordata; Actinopteri; Cypriniformes; Leuciscidae
Source: RefSeq, a predicted model, not a curated record
AUUUGUGUUUGGAAAGGGCUUAUUUUAGUCCUUUUUCUCUUUGCUGCUGAUGGAUUUAAAGAACCAUGGCUGUUAUUCAUAGUGAAUUUCCCUGCAGUGGGUGAUUGAGUCUGGAUCUGUUUGUGGUGAUUGAGUCUGGAUCUCGGGUAGAUGGAGAUUCAGUGCAGAAGCUGAAGGUUGACCGCCCUCUUCAGUAACUCUCAAGACCUUCCCUUGACAAAAUCAUGUUCAGACGUUAUCUACCUUUUUACAAUCCAGGAUAAAUGGGUGAGCUGUGAAUGACCAUUGGUUGAAGCAAUCAUUUUCAAACGUGUUAUGCAAUAUGUGAUUUUGUUGGUGUUUUUCCUUUUUUUUUUUUUGUCUUUUUUCCACAGGUUAUUCAUAGUGAAUUUCCCUGCAGUGGGUGAUUGAGUCUGGAUCUGUUUGUGGUGAUUGAGUCUGGAUCUCGGGUAGAUGGAGAUUCAGUGCAGAAGCUGAAGGUUGACUGUCAAGGGAAGGUCUUGAGAGUUACUGAAGAGGGCAAAAUCAUGUUCCGACGUUAUCUACCUUUUUACAAUCCAGGAUAAAUGGGUGAGCUGUGAAUGACCAUUGGUUGAAGCAAUCAUCUUCAAACGCGUUAUCCAAUAUGUGAUUUUGUUGGUGUCUUUCCUUUUUUUUUUUUGUCUUUUUUCCACAGGUUAUUCAUAGUGAAUUUCCCUGCAGUGGGUGAUUGAGUCUGGAUCUGUUUGUGGUGAUUGAGUCUGGAUCUCGGGUAGAUGGAGAUUCAGUGCAGAAGCUGAAGGUUGACUGUCAAGGGAAGGUCUAGAGCGUUACUGAAGAGGGCAAAAUCAUCUUCAGACGUUACCUACCUUUUUACAAUCCAGGAUAAAUGGGUGAGCUGUGAAUGACCAUUGGUUGAAGCAAUCAUCUUCAAAUGUGUUAUGCAAUAUGUGAUUUUGUUGGUGUCUUUCCUUUUUUUUUUUUUUUUUGUCUUUUUUUCCACAGGUUAUUCAUAGUGAAUUUCACUGCAGUGGGUGAUUGAGUCUGGAUCUGUUUGUGGUGAUUGAGUCUGGAUCUCGGGUAGAUGGAGAUUCAGUGCAGAAGCUGAAGGUUGACUAUCAAGGGAAGGUCUUGAGAGUUACUGAAGAGGGCAAAAUCAUGUUCAGACGUUACCUACCUUUUUACAAUCCAGGAUAAAUGGGUUAUUCAUAGUGAAUUUCCCUGAAGUGGGUGAUUGAGUCUGGAUCUGUUUGUGGUGAUUGAGUCUGGAUCUCGGGUAGAUGGAGAUUCAGUGCAGAAGCUGAAGGUUGACUGUCAAGGGAAGGUCUUGAGCGUUACUGAAGAGGGCAAAAUCAUGUUCAGACUUUACCUACCUUUUUACAAUCCAGGAUAAAUGGGUGAGCUGUGAAUGACCAUUGGUUGAAGCAAUCAUCUUCAAACGCGUUAUGCAAUAUGUGAUUUUGUUGGUGUCUUUGCAGUUAAUUUCAGAGUUGUCUCCAUGGAUCCCAAAUUUGUGCCUUUUUAUCAAAUGGUAAAACCAGAUGUUUCACCAUUUAGAGGUUUCUGACCAUAAAUGAAAAGCAAAUUAAAUGCAGGUUCUUUUAAGAUGCAUAAAUUUCAACUUCAAUGACUGCUUUUUAAUGCUUAUUAUUCCUGUCUGUCUUACAGUACAACGUAGUCGUGGUGGAGUUAAGUUUGCUUCGGUAUAAGACUUUGAAUGGAGCCAAUGCAGCUUUUUGCACUUUUCUUUGCAGAUAUUCUCUGAGCUGUUAAUUUAUUUUAAUAGGACAAAGAUUAUAACUGGAUUGGGCAGUGGACAAAUGUUUCCUCAAAGGGCUGAUAUUGCAGCUUUCUCACGAGUUAAACCCACAGGCUCAGAUAGUGAUGUACACACUAAAGGCUUUUAUUGCUGACCGAGAAGUCUCCCAAGUUUUUGAGGUGAAAAAGUAUAGUAAGUUGUUGUGUAAGGGCAGUUCAAUGACAGAUCUGAGGCCUUAACCUAAAGCGCUAUGUUUCUGGUUUAGUUCUGCCCAAGUUUAAUGUGACUGUAAACGCACUGUAGAACUACAGCGUUGCAGUUAUGGUACUGAAAGUUGAGUCUUGUGCCAAGUGAGUGACGCUUUAUUUUCUUCUCUUGUGGUUGAUCAGUUCUUUAUCGUGUUCUGAUGUUUCCCAUUUAUACAUAUGGCCAACCUGUACCUGGUCAAGCCUUAGUGGAAGUGUGCCGUGAUCCAUUUCCAUACUUUCUGCUUCAUAAUUUGACCAGACCGUGCCUGACUCGAACUGCAAAGAUGAAUGUCACAGGCUUUGCCUCUCUUACUGUUGAUGCGUAAGUGUUUUUCAAGACCAAAUGCAAGACACAUUUCUUGUAAAUGUGAAUGUUACUGAGGAGGGAACAGAUGUAAUGGUGUCAAAAUCUGAAAAGGGGUCUAUUACGUUUGUAGUUGGCCAAGUCACAUUUGUGGACCUCCUGGAUCAAUGCUUAAUG